Lepidothrix coronata (blue-crowned manakin) is the source of this 1263-nucleotide long non-coding RNA. The record is from Ensembl. NCBI's taxonomy places the organism in Eukaryota, Metazoa, Chordata, Aves, Passeriformes, Pipridae.
AUGACAAGUGAAGGAAAAGGUGGCAAUUUGGAGGAGCCCCUCCAGCAGAGAACACAAACACAGCAGCACCGAGGAGAGCAGGACAGAGAUCACCCACCCCAGAGGGGAGACACGGAAAAUCCAGACAAGGAAGAAAGCAGUGAGACAUCUUUGUGCCUCGCUCUCCAGCAGAACUGCUCAGCUCCCUGCCCUCUGUCCUUUGAAGCUGCUGGGAAUGUGGAAGUCAAGGAUAAGUUGGCUCAGGCAGCAGCUGCUCCAUCCACCUCCAUCGCUCUGGAACUCCCCAGGCAAGGCGUCGGCUCCGCGCGGCUGCCGGGGCCGUGCUCGGACAGCGAGGACUUCCUGGUCAAGUACAGUGACAUUGUCAUAGGACAAACACCUGUUUUCAGUGAGAAUCGUUCUCCAAGGGCUUUUCAGACAGAGCCAAGAGCCAGUGUGAGUGAGGAAUGUGCCUUGGCUGCAGAGCCCCGGGGGGCUGAGCUGGGGCCUGUGCCGUUGUCCCCAGGAGCCAGCGGCCCCCCAGCCUUUGCCAUGUUUGCUGACAGCCCCUGUGACAGCUCAGCCCAUGUGGAGUUCAGAGCUUCACAACUGCCCCAAGAAUCCAUUGAAGCAGAAAUCAAGGAUGCCAUGAACUGCAUAGACCCAGACCCUGCCGAUGGACCCGCUGAGCUGAAGUCUCUGCCCUACACGGACUUUGCCUCUGCCCAGACUGUCCCCAGGGAGGAGGAGGUUUGUGAUCUGUCCUUAACUUUCACAAAACUACAGAUCAAGGACACUCAGGAAGAUCUGAUGUAUCCAGUGGAGGAAACUGGCCAACCUGCAGCAGCAGCAUGUGCAAGUGCCAGUGACAGGCACAGAAGAGAAUUUAAUCACUCCAAAAUCAAACACGUAUAUCUGGCUGAUGCUGAGCCAUCCUCAGACCUGUGCUGUACUGCUGGGAACACGGAGCAUUCCACCACUGGUUCUGAUGGCAAGAGACUGUUCAUGGAUACUGGUAACACACACAGAGCCUCUGAGGGCUUCAGGCACAUCAGAGAGCCCCCCAACCUCACCUACAUCCCACCACAGAGUAUCGAUGUUCAGCCUUCACAGCCAAGAAGGAGCAGCACACAGGACAGAAGGACCCUCCUGCAGCCUGAACCUGACCCUCCUGAAUCCAGUGAAGUAACUCUGGAGAACUGGAAUUCAGAACUGAGUGAAAACCAGGAGCCUUAUGUCAUUAUUGACAGGACCGACCAAGGAAUGUUAUGCCAUCACAUUUGA